ACAAUGAAUGCCUUAGUAGCGGCGAGUGAAGCGGCAAUAGCUCAAAUUUGAAAUCUGGCACUUUCAGUGUCCGAGUUGUAAUUUGAAGAAGGUAUCUUUGGGUCUAGCUCUUGUCUAUGUUUCUUGGAACAGAACGUCACAGAGGGUGAGAAUCCCGUGCGAUGAGAUGUCUAGAUCUAUGUAAAGUUCCUUCGAAGAGUCGAGUUGUUUGGGAAUGCAGCUCUAAGUGGGUGGUAAAUUCCAUCUAAAGCUAAAUAUUGGCGAGAGACCGAUAGCGAACAAGUACAGUGAUGGAAAGAUGAAAAGAACUUUGAAAAGAGAGUGAAAAAGUACGUGAAAUUGUUGAAAGGGAAGGGCUUGAGAUCAGACUUGGUAUUUUGUAUGUUACUCUCUCGGGGGUGGCCUCUACAGUUUACCGGGCCAGCAUCAGUUUGAGCGGUAGGAGAAUUGCGUAGGAAUGUGGCUCGGCCUCGGUCGAGUGUUAUAGCCUUCGUCGAUACUGCCAGCUUAGACUGAGGACUGCGGCUUCGGCCUAGGAUGUUGGCAUAAUGAUCUUAAGUCGCCCGUCUUGAACCACGGACCCAA
RNAcentral lists this ribosomal RNA (585 nucleotides) under Lodderomyces elongisporus. RNAcentral describes it as "partial large subunit ribosomal RNA". It matches the Rfam family "Eukaryotic large subunit ribosomal RNA", at positions 68 to 670 of the family's 3401-position model. Lineage: Eukaryota; Fungi; Ascomycota; Pichiomycetes; Serinales; Debaryomycetaceae. The record is from RNAcentral.